AACCUGGUUGAUCCUGCCAGUAGUCAUAUGCUUGUCUCAAAGAUUAAGCCAUGCAUGUCUAAGUACACGCCUUUACACGGCUAAACUGCGAAUGGCUCAUUAAAUCAGUUAUGGUUCCUUAGAUCGUACAAUCCUACUUGGAUAACUGUGGCAAUUCUAGAGCUAAUACAUGCAACACAGCUCCGACCUCGCGGGAAGAGCGCUUUUGUUAGCCCAAAACCAACGCGUCGCUCUCGGGCGGCGCUCCUCGUGGUGACUCUGGACAACUUUGUGCCGAUCGCACGGCCCUAGCGCCGGCGACGUAUCUUUCAAGUGUCUGCCCUAUCAACUUUCGAUGGUACGUGCUAUGCCUACCAUGGUGAUAACGGGUAACGGGGAAUCAGGGUUCGAUUCCGGAGAGGGAGCAUGAGAUACGGCUACCACAUCCAAGGAAGGCAGCAGGCGCGCAACUUACCCACUCCUGGCACGGGGAGGUAGUGACGAAAAAUAACAAUACGAAACUCUUUUGAGGCUUCGUAAUUGGAAUGAGUACACUUUAAACCCUUUAACGAGGAUCUAUUGGAGGGCAAGUCUGGUG
RNAcentral lists this ribosomal RNA (577 nucleotides) under Mya truncata. Its description in RNAcentral is "SSU rRNA". It matches the Rfam family "Eukaryotic small subunit ribosomal RNA", at positions 1 to 566 of the family's 1831-position model. The record is from RNAcentral. Lineage: Eukaryota; Metazoa; Mollusca; Bivalvia; Myida; Myidae.